Molecule: long non-coding RNA, 229 nt
Filed under: Hordeum vulgare
Lineage: Eukaryota; Viridiplantae; Streptophyta; Magnoliopsida; Poales; Poaceae
Description: long non-coding RNA (HVUL_LNC016221)
Source: RNAcentral
AUAACUGAAGAAUGACAAGUGGGGCAUACACUUGCCAUCUGACAAUAGUAUAACAUAAAGCUUACAAUCACACAAUUAUUCAGAGCAUAGUUUAGUCCCGCUACGGACAACAUGAAACAAGUAAAACUAUGACAUCCCGCAUGUUGGCCCACGAUCACAACCACGGCCUUAGUCCUCCGGAUAGUUCACGUACUGUCGUCCAGAGUCCUCAUCGAACUCCCACUUCAGU